Molecule: long non-coding RNA, 480 nt
Organism: Mustela erminea (ermine)
Lineage: Eukaryota; Metazoa; Chordata; Mammalia; Carnivora; Mustelidae
Exons: 3
Source: RefSeq, a predicted model, not a curated record
GGAUGGUUUAUCCACAUGGAUGUUGGGGAGUCUGACUGAUUCCUCCUACUUCAAGUUGCCCUUCUGUGAGAGGGGAUUAAGAAAUCUGCAUUGAGAUCACAGUCCAAGAAAGCAGAGGAGUAAGACACCUUACUUUUGUCUGGUUGCAGGAAUUCAGCUAGAUAGCUAUCCAAUUAUUCUGAACACCUGAAAAAUCAAGGGGAGAUCAAAGAAAAGAGUACCUGCAACUCUACAAACAGAAAAGUGACCAUGUUCUGCCAGUAAGCUGCCAUGCUGGAGAAGCCCACUUGAUAAGGAACCAGCCAGAUUCAGCCAAGAGCCAGCAAGGUACUGAGGAUCUCAUUCCAACAGACGUUGAAGAACUGCAUCCUGCCAGCAACUCUGUGACUGAGUACUACGGGAGUUGGUCCUUCCCCAGUCAAGCCUCUAGAUGAGAAUGUAGUAGCCUCAGCUGACACCUUAAGUGCAGCCUUGACGCAG